This 234-nucleotide unclassified non-coding RNA is filed under the name uncultured Ramaria. RNAcentral's name for it is "sequence contains ITS1". Lineage: Eukaryota; Fungi; Basidiomycota; Agaricomycetes; Gomphales; Gomphaceae. The record is from RNAcentral.
UAGCAUGAUUAGGGGGGAAGUUUGAUGCUGGCCUUGCGCGUCUCGCAGAGGCAUGUGCGCGCUUUCCCUCCCAUCCUACAUACACCUGUGCACCUAUGGCGAGUGCCUCCCAUUUUGGAGCCGUUCAAUGUCCUGAAGAGGGGCUGAGGACCGAGGCGCUCCCUCUUUUCUUAUCAUCUCAGCCUGUUUGAAUGCAUGUUCGAGCUUCCAUGCGGAGCUGAAAAAAAAGUAAUA